GUGUCAAGAAUUCAUUGAUUAAUGAAUAUGGAUUUGUUUCACUUCACUGAUCUCUAACUAUUUCUCUCCAUCAUCACUGAUCCAAACCCUUGCAGAUUCCUUGCGUUUGAGUGGAAGUUACAGCUAAAAAAAGAUUUUCUUUGGAACUUGGGGAAAAAUCGGUGAAUUGGUUCAAGAGAGGAAAAAUGCAGAAUAAAGAUUCAGUUUAUGAAUAUGAGGAAGUAGAUUCUUUGGCAUUUCCGAUGUCUGAAUUCGAUGGAUGUAACUGUUUUGGUGAUGAU
This is a non-coding RNA of Lupinus albus (white lupine), 281 nucleotides long. NCBI's taxonomy places the organism in Eukaryota, Viridiplantae, Streptophyta, Magnoliopsida, Fabales, Fabaceae. The record is from the annotation of a GenBank genome assembly.